RNAcentral lists this long non-coding RNA (2773 nucleotides) under Mus musculus (house mouse). RNAcentral describes it as "long non-coding RNA chr16:97440162-97442935". Lineage: Eukaryota; Metazoa; Chordata; Mammalia; Rodentia; Muridae. The record is from RNAcentral.
AUUUCAAGAAUGUUUGAGCACUGAAGUCAAUGUUGGCAUAGAGGACAUGUGGGAGACAGGUAGCCUGCAUGUUGCCUGAGCCAAACAGAGAUUGGGCAAUUCCAUCAGCAAAGAGUUUAGGAUCCCUGGGAGUUAAUAAAUGCUAAACUCUUCGAGGGGGAAAAGGAGAGGUAUGUCCCCCACCUCAGCCUGCAGUUUCAGUGUUCUGGAGAGUCAAGAUAUCCCUGAACAGUGUAGGCAACCCAAUUUACUCCAGUGUUUUUAGCAUGGCCUACAUUUUUGGAAUCUCCAAAGAGAAGCCCUCGAAUUGGUCACUGGCCACUGAGCAGACAUUCAGCAGAAGACGAUUUGUUUUGUUUAGAAGAUGCCUAUUCCAGUAAGACCAGAAUUCCUUGAGUUCAGGAGCAGGACCCGGGUCUGAGGCUGCAGGUUCAAGGCUAUGUGCUGGGGAGUUCACUGGGCAAGGGAAAGUUACUUGGGCCACACUGACUUGGCCAAGUUUCUUUUGGGGACUGUGUACCCAGGAAGGACUAUUGACAGCCAGAGCUGGACAGUCCCAUGAUAACCAGCCUUGUUGGACCACUUACCCACCCUGUUGUCAGCCUCAAAUCUCUGCCCUGUCUUCAGUGGCUCUGAUCUUCCUGUAGAAGUGGGUCUCAUGGGUCUUAGGGUCCAUAAGUACCCAGUCUCAUUCAGAAUCAGGCAUCUGAAUUAUAGUCUGGUUGACUGCACUGGGUCAGAGAGUAAACUGAAGCAAUUGUCAUGUUGCUAAAGAUUUUGAAAACCAAACUGAGCCUCCUGGUGGCACCCAUGUGUCUACAAAGCCCACGAAUGAGGAGUUCAUUAGGAGUGGGCGAGUGAGUACUCAUAAUAUCAAAUUCAAAGGACAGUGAUUUUUCCUCCCUCCCACCACACAAGCUUCCUAUGGAUUUAGUAUCAGAUGUCACACCCAGAUGCCCUAUGUUUCUAAAUUUAACUGUGCCCUAUUAUUUUUAUUCUUAAGGAGAAGAUAGUAGAUGAAGGCUAGACUGUAAGUUCAAAUCCCUAUUAGGACUUGUAGUGUUUUGUUUGCUUGUUUGUUUUGUUUUGUUUUUUGAUCAAACCUUGGGUAACAUUUGCAUCCCAGUGACAACCAGAAGUGUAUGAUAUUAAAUCAUUUAUUAAGGAAUAGUCAGUGUCAGGAAAGUGCCAGACGCACACACCCCCAUUUACAACUGGAGAAAUGUUUGUGUGAGAUAAGCUGUAGCACAUGGCAUGUCCCUCACUCAUCAGAGUAGAGCACACAGCCAAUAUGAAUUUUUACCCAUAUGCUUCAUAAUUACAGCUGGUAGAGGCACAAUCAGCCCUCUCUUAAGCUAAGCACAGCUGUGAAUCACAUUGGUGUCUGUAAAAAGAGACCACUGACACCUGCGCUUUCUGUGCAGCCCUACCUGAUUUAACACUGCUGUGUCUUCUCUGGUGGGGUGGAAAUUAGAUAGUUUGUAUUUGUAACAGAUGCACAGAUCUGAGUGGGACCUGGCUUGCUGAUUUCUGCUGCUCCUUGUUCUGUGUGGACACUACUAGAACCUUCUGAGAUAAGUAAAGCUGUGGCAUCCUAUCAGGGGAAGAAAACUCUCACAGGGGCUCCACGUUGUCAGGAUGGGUUCUGCUGAAUGAAGAAUGAAGUGUUAAGAGAGCAUUGGGUAAUCUCCUUCUGAGAUUAAAAAACAAAACAAAAAACAUAGCUAGUUAAGGCUUUAUUAAUCCGUAGUAAAAAUCACAAGAAGUACAAUUUCUUGGGGUUAGGAGUGAAGUUCACUUGUAUAGUUCUUGCCUAGCAUUCACAAAACCCUAAUACGAAAAGGAAGGUGGGAGGACGUGAGGAAGGGAAAUGUCUUCGUAGCUUUGCGAACUCUUGUCCUUUGGCCCCCGGAGUAUAAAAUGCUGCCUCAUCAAUUCCUCCUUUGCUGCAGGAUCAUGCAUUCUUACCAGUGAGGAGCUGAAGGCUGGUCUCUUUAGCGAUGACUCAGUCCAGACCCACAGCGUAGGUGGGGUUCUCACGUGCAAGUAAAAGCUGAAGUUUGGAGUGUAAAACAGCUUGUUUCCUACUGCCUCUGUUCAUCUACACACUUGAGUACCCUUAAGGUUUAAGAUGCUCUCCUCUAGGCACUGAAAGGGCUACUCAUGUCUCCUGCUUCUCAGGCAUGUAAGGUUUCGGUUCUGCUGGGAGAGCUCUAAGCCAUGCACCAGGCAUAGUGGCACAUGCUUUUAAUCCCAGCACUUGGAAGGCAGAUGUAGAUCUCUACAAUGCCUUCUGUACACAGUUCCAUACCACCCAGAAUUACAUGAUAAGACCUUGAUGGUGAGUAAGUAAAUACACAAAUAAAUAAAUGAUCCAAGCCAUCUACUGAAUUCUAAAAGAGGCAGAAAGUAGUGUUUUAUACAGUGUAUUUUUGUUUUUUUGUUUUUUUUUUUUUUCUACAGGGUUCUUGAGUGGCAAUUGUAUUUCUGAAGAUGCUUCUAACUGGUUAAUGUUUUCUUGGGGGAAUCUCCCUCCAUUUCCAGGGCACUGAACUGAUUUCAAAUCAAAUUGUGAUUAGAAUACUGUGCAAAACAGAGAGGCAUUCGUGCCACAGAGUAGCUCCUCACAAAUGGCCACAUGGUUGCUAGGCCCUCCAACCUGGAGUUUUCUAGAAUAAUCUUAUUUUUGUACUUGUCCACCCUGCUAAGAUAUAUACCACUGAAAAGAAGCGAGAUGUCUGACUCAGUAUGAAUAAAUAACACUUCCUACUUG